Rhinopithecus roxellana (golden snub-nosed monkey) is the source of this 648-nucleotide long non-coding RNA. RefSeq lists it as uncharacterized. The record is from RefSeq and is a predicted model, not a curated record. NCBI's taxonomy places the organism in Eukaryota, Metazoa, Chordata, Mammalia, Primates, Cercopithecidae. The transcript is spliced from 3 exons.
ACCGGGCCUUCCCCACCACCUCAUCUGCUUGAGAACGUAAAGGGUUCUGUGGGGCCGCUGCAGCUUUCGUGCCCAUCUGUCUCCAGAGCUUCCCAUCUCUGGAAUGCGGGAGGGAACAGAGCUCUAGCCUGAAUAACUGAGCCCGGCCCGGCAGUUCCCGAGAUUCACCAGAGAAUAAGCCUGAUGGGAAGUCUGGAGAUAACAGGACACCGAACCAGUAGGUCCUCCUGAUUCUCAGGCCUUCAGACACAGACUGGAAUCUACAGCAUUGGUUCUCGGGCUAUCCAACCUUCAGCCUACAUGACCAGCUUUCCUGGGUCUCCAGUUUGCAAUCAACCUACCCUGGAACUUUUCAGCCUCCAUAAUCGCCUGAGCCAAUACUUUAGAAUAAAUAUGUAUCUUUUUCUUGGUGCUGUUUCUCCAGAGAACCCUAACUAGCAUAGGCACCAAACACCCAUUUUAAUAAUCCACUUGUCUUCAGAUCACAGCAAUAUCUACUCAAGAGAUACAGACGCCAUUGAUUUCUGGCCACAGGAGGGCAGAAGAGUCAAUAGGUAUUCUUUGGCCUUCCUCCCAGGAGAGGGAGGUGCCAAAGAAAUUCAGAGUGAUCUGUAUGGCCCUAUCUGAUGUUUGGAAUCAUUUCUUUCU